RNAcentral lists this unclassified non-coding RNA (1241 nucleotides) under Hevea brasiliensis (rubber tree). The record is from RNAcentral. Lineage: Eukaryota; Viridiplantae; Streptophyta; Magnoliopsida; Malpighiales; Euphorbiaceae.
AAUAUAUCAUCCAAUAUGAAUACAUUCCAUACAAGAAAAUCUUGGGUUGUUCAAAAUCAUUUCCACAUUUCAGUGGGCUUGCAUUUCCAACACACCCACACAUCAAGUUAAAAAGCUAGGAGAUGAAUUGAUAAUACAUAGAGAAUUCAGCUGAUGACAAACCUACAAAAUUACACAAAAUUGUUAUGCGUCUUGAAAUUUGUCUUAUCCAUGCGGCUAUAUAGUAGCAUUACACUCCACAUACAUAAUUGAAUUUCAAAUUACAAAAGAAUAAAAUAAAGCCCGAUAUGAAGAUGCAACAACAACAUUCAUAUUCGAGAUAUGUACGGUCGAAUAUUCACAAAACAUGAGUUCCUGCACAACAGAUGGAAAGAUUAUAAGUGAAUUUUCAGCGCACAUAAAAGUAAUUCUCUCUAACAAAAAUGUAAGCCUUUUUAUAAUACGAAGAGUAGAUCCCAUGUGAUUGUGAGAGAUAUAAAUAUGUACUGAAUAUACCUAAUAAUUUCUUCACCCGGAAAGGCAAAAGAGCUCUAAACUCAUUUUCUGAACGGCUUAAGAGGAACCUCUGAAUAUUUUUAAACGUGAACGCGGACCCUUUGAUCGUGCUUCCAGAAGCUUUGCCUUCAAAGUAUUUUCCUUCAAGUUUGGAGGCAAUUUUGUAGAAGACUCAGAAAUGUCAAGAUCUGGGGUUGUGAGUUUCGCCAUCCACUGUCUAACUGGACUAGCAUUUCUCUUGGUUGGGUAACUGGAGGAUGCCUCGCCUGCAUCAUUCUCAUGAUGCACAUUCCGUGCUUCUGAUGAUGAAAUAUGACUUCUUAUCAAGUUAUCAAUCACAUAAUUUGGGUUCAGCCCAUGCAUCUCAUCAACUUUAUUCUUUCUUUCAAGGCUGCCACCGUCAUUAGCAUCAUAAUUUUCGGAUUUUCGAGAAGCACUCAAUUCAUUUGGAUUCCCUUCACCUGCUUUUACCUCUUCCGAGUCAACUACCUGAGACUUCUUGUUUCCAUUAGGUGCCACUGCCCAAGCCAUCUGUUCUUCGAAUUUGACUUGCAAGCUUGAUGGACUCUGACGUCUAAUUCUUUCGCGAGAUGCAAACUUCUUUGUUUGACAAGAUUUGACAGUUUCAUCAACAUGCCCAUCUGCAGCAUCAUCUCUAUGCAUGUUAAAUUCACCAUUACUCGGUUUGUUAAGCUCAAAACAAUGUGAAUCGCUACUUGCAGAAUCCUCUUCAUCACCGACAUCCU